CGGACGGGUGAGUAACGCGUGAGAAUCUGGCUUCAGGUCUGGGACAACCACUGGAAACGGUGGCUAAUACCGGAUGUGCCCUUCGGGGUGAAAGAUUAAUUGCCUGAAGAUGAGCUCGCGUCUGAUUAGCUAGUUGGAAGUGUAAUGGACUCCCAAGGCGACGAUCAGUAGCUGGUCUGAGAGGACGAUCAGCCACACUGGGACUGAGACACGGCCCAGACUCCUACGGGAGGCAGCAGUGGGGAAUUUUCCGCAAUGGGCGAAAGCCUGACGGAGCAAUACCGCGUGAGGGAGGAAGGCUCUUGGGUCGUAAACCUCUUUUCUCAGGGAAGAACACAAUGACGGUACCUGAGGAAUAAGCAUCGGCUAACUCCGUGCCAGCAGCCGCGGUAAUACGGAGGAUGCAAGCGUUAUCCGGAAUGAUUGGGCGUAAAGCGUCCGCAGGUGGCAAUGUAAGUCUGCUGUUAAAGAGUCUAGCUCAACUAGAUAAAAGCAGUGGAAACUACAUAGCUAGAGUACGUUCGGGGCAGAGGGAAUUCCUGGUGUAGCGGUGAAAUGCGUAGAGAUCAGGAAGAACACCAGUGGCGAAGGCGCUCUGCUAGUCCGUAACUGACACUGAGGGACGAAAGCUAGGGGAGCGAAUGGGAUUAGAUACCCCAGUAGUC
Molecule: ribosomal RNA, 665 nt
Filed under: uncultured cyanobacterium
Lineage: Bacteria; Bacillati; Cyanobacteriota
Description: bacterial SSU rRNA
Rfam family: Bacterial small subunit ribosomal RNA
Source: RNAcentral